This 329-nucleotide ribosomal RNA is filed under the name uncultured eukaryote. RNAcentral describes it as "partial 18S ribosomal RNA". It matches the Rfam family "Eukaryotic small subunit ribosomal RNA", at positions 1470 to 1796 of the family's 1831-position model. The record is from RNAcentral.
CCCUUAGAUGUUCUGGGCCGCACGCGCGCUACAAUGAUGAAUUCAACGAGUUUAUAACCUUGGUUGAAAAGCCUGGGUAAUCUUUUGAACUUUCGUCGUGAUGGGGCUAGACCCUUGCAAUUAUUGGUCUCCAACGAGGAAUUCCUAGUAAACGCAAGUCAUCAGCUUGCAUUGAUUACGUCCCUGCCCUUUGUACACACCGCCCGUCGCACCUACCGAUUGAAUGGUCCGGUGAAAUCUUCGGAUUGAGACUUUGUUUUCUUCACGGAAAACGCUGUUUUAAAAAGUUGAUUAAACCUUACCAUUUAGAGGAAGGUGAAGGCGUAACA